RNAcentral lists this ribosomal RNA (504 nucleotides) under uncultured bacterium. RNAcentral's name for it is "partial 16S ribosomal RNA". It matches the Rfam family "Bacterial small subunit ribosomal RNA", at positions 899 to 1397 of the family's 1533-position model. The record is from RNAcentral.
ACUCAAAUGAAUUGACGGGGGCCCGCACAAGCGGUGGAGCAUGGGGAUUAAUUCGUCACUAACCGAAGAACCUUACCCAGGCUUGACAUCCGUCGUAAGUCCGGGAAACCGGCACCCCUUCCUCGAAAGAGGGAGCGGCGAGACAGGUGUUGCAUGGCUGUCGUCAGCUCGUGUCGUGAGAUGUUGGGUUAAGUCCCGCAACGAGCGCAACCCUCACGGCCUGUUGCCAGCGUUAAGUCGGGCACUCUGGCCGAACUGCCCGGGUAACCGGGAGGAAGGUGGGGAUGACGUCAAGUCGGCAUGGCCCUUACGCCUGGGGCUUCACCCAUGCUACAAUGGGCGCUACAGAGGGAUGCAAGCCCGCGAGGGGGAGCCAAUCCCACAAAAGCGCUCUCAGUUCGGAUUGCAGGCUGCAACUCGCCUGCAUGAAGUCGGAAUCGCUAGUAACCGCCGGUCAGCUAAACGGCGGUGAAUACGUUCCCGGGCCUUGUACACACCGCCCGU